AUAAAUUAUCAAUUGAUAUAUAUACAUAUUAAGUUUUAUAAUAAUGAAUAAUAAAUUUUACAAUAUCAUACAAUUAUAUUUCAAUUGGAUACAUCCAUCUUGUAUGUACUGGCCCACCCAGUCUAGCCUCAUGUGAAAGAUGAACUGAAAGAUGCACCAUGAUAUCAAAGAAGAUGGGAGGAAAUAUCAUCUCGAGCUUACAGAGAGUAAUGAUAAUCUUCUUCUCUAAUAUGUUGAUUUGACUUCACCUCAACAUCUUCGCA
Molecule: long non-coding RNA, 263 nt
Filed under: Elaeis guineensis (African oil palm)
Lineage: Eukaryota; Viridiplantae; Streptophyta; Magnoliopsida; Arecales; Arecaceae
Description: long non-coding RNA (EGUI_LNC018532)
Source: RNAcentral